RNAcentral lists this long non-coding RNA (201 nucleotides) under Elaeis guineensis (African oil palm). RNAcentral's name for it is "long non-coding RNA (EGUI_LNC031830)". Lineage: Eukaryota; Viridiplantae; Streptophyta; Magnoliopsida; Arecales; Arecaceae. The record is from RNAcentral.
GCUUCAAGAGUUCUAGCCCCUAGAACUCGAAUUGCCUUGAUCUAGUCAGAUUUCUUCAAGAACCUGACUUCACCCUCUCAAAGAUUCUUAUCUAGACUUCUAAACCUCUUCUUUAGAACUUUCUUUACCCUCAUUUGGACCUGCAUAAGGUAUUUCUUAAAUAUAGAAAGCCUUGUCCUAAACAAGAGCGAGGAAGGAGAG